GAGGAAGGGGCGGGGCGUGCCCCGCCAGCGGAGGCCGGGAGGACCAGGAACCCAGGGGAGCAUGGCCACGCUGCGCCGGCUUCGGGAGGCGCCGCGGCACUUACUGGUUUGCGAGAAAUCCAACUUCGGCCACCACAAGUCGCGCCACCGGCAUCUUGUGCAGACGCACUACUAUAACUACAGGGUUUCAUUUCUCAUUCCUGAAUGUGGGAUACUAUCAGAAGAACUGAAAAACCUGGUCAUGAACACUGGACCCUAUUACUUUGUGAAGAAUUUACCUCUUCAUGAAUUAAUUACACCUGAAUUCAUCAGUACCUUUAUAAAGAAAGGUAAGAAAAACCUGAAAUGGCUGUGAACAAGGCUGGAUGAGGAAGGGUAGGGAGACCACAUCACGAUGCUAGGGCUGUUCUUUUGUUUCAAACAGGGCCUGUGGUAUAGUCUGUGUGGUCAGGUGCACACACGUUCUCCCCCGCAUUCUCAUCCUGUUCUUUCUUGUACCCUCUUUAGGUGGUGGUUUCUGAUUGCAAUUGGCCACAAGUGUUGGAUGGGGAUGUUGUAACAUGACAGUAUCCGUCCCCUUAAAAUGAGGAUUAAUGGAGAGGAGAGACUUGCAAUCUGUGUUCGGAUGCACUGCUGUUGAAGAUGUGGCUGCAA
RNAcentral lists this small RNA (654 nucleotides) under Pan troglodytes (chimpanzee). RNAcentral describes it as "retained intron". Lineage: Eukaryota; Metazoa; Chordata; Mammalia; Primates; Hominidae. The record is from RNAcentral.